Molecule: long non-coding RNA, 974 nt
Filed under: Sorghum bicolor (sorghum)
Lineage: Eukaryota; Viridiplantae; Streptophyta; Magnoliopsida; Poales; Poaceae
Description: long non-coding RNA (SBIC_LNC006547)
Source: RNAcentral
UCAUAAGAGAUGAUCCAUGGAGGGUGCCACAAACACGAUACACAACCGCUAAGAAAGGAAAGCUUCCACAAGGUGAUACUGUACCAUCACUCUUCAAGUAAGGUAACAUCUUAAGGUACUUGACUAUCACUUUUAUAAGCUUCUCCUUGGUUCUAGCGUUCACAUAAGUAAAAGAGACAAACAUGUAUGAUUUACAACUCUAGAUUAACCAACCCAACUGAUUCAGCAUGUUUAGUCCUUUAAUCUUUGAUCCUAGUACUACCUCCAUGAUCCCACACUCCUAAUCAUAUGAGCUAAAUGUUGCACACUCAAUCUUUGAGAGAUAUAAAGAAAAAGACAUAUACAUAGAUAGAUUAUCUUUCCAUAAGGUUGAGCGAUCUGAUCUGACAAUUGUUUUAAAUGCUACACUCAUGAACUUAUCACCCAUCAACUUUAUCUUGCUCCCUAUGCUUAAGGAUAGAGAAGAAUAAAUAUACUUUUGGUUCUGUUGGUGUUUUCCACCAACAGGGCCCAUGCACUUGAUCUCUGCCUUGUCUCUAUGAGCAGGACACAUUUUGAGAAACAUGGAGGAUUUUAUAACUCCCAGACUCUACCAAGUGAAGGACGUGGAUCUACGAGCAUAAACACACUGAGCAAGAUACUGCCAACGCUGCACUUCGAACUACUAGGCAAAUGAAGAACAUGGGUGACACCGUAUCAAGAGGUGCAGACGUCAAUGUCCACACCUGAAUCAAAUGACGCACCUGAAGAAUAAACACGGUGAGAAGUAUUGUUCAGAAGACUUAAAACACUGAACCCUCGUCGAAAGGUAAAAUCGGUAGUUAUCCAUAUUUAUCCUUUCUGCAUUCCCUUUCCCCUUUAAUUACUUACUUUCCUUAAAUGGCUUGUUAGUUAGUCAUGCUAUCUUGAAAAGAAAAUAAAAAUGUUAAAAAUAGUAAGCCCCAUGUGAGUAUGCACGUAGCAUAAAACCCAUA